Molecule: RNase P RNA, 274 nt
Filed under: Nitrososphaerota archaeon
Lineage: Archaea; Thermoproteati; Nitrososphaerota
Description: Thaumarchaeota archaeon RNase P RNA component
Rfam family: Archaeal RNase P
About the family: Ribonuclease P (RNase P) is a ubiquitous endoribonuclease, found in archaea, bacteria and eukarya as well as chloroplasts and mitochondria. Its best characterised activity is the generation of mature 5'-ends of tRNAs by cleaving the 5'-leader elements of precursor-tRNAs.
Source: RNAcentral
GCGAGCCAGCGAACGAGGCACUGCCACGGCAGAGGAAACUCCUCCCUCCAUGCAGCAAACGUGACCUGGCGACAGGUAGUCAGAGAUGACUGGAAUCAGAACAGAAAACCAUCAAAGCUGGGGCACCGUGAUGGCAAUGCCUGAGAUUCCCAGCGGAGAAUGAAAGAUCUGUACCACGUGGAGAAAGGCCAAAUCAAACUAAGCGCUGCACUUUGUUUAGGUAGGCCGCAUAGCGGAAUCUCGUAAAACAGAAGGAGGGUUACGGCUGGCACGC